CGUUCUAUGGCCGAAUUGGUGAAGGCAUCGCCGAUCACAGGCGAGAGGUUGCGGGUUCGAGUCACGCUGGAACUA
Molecule: transfer RNA, 75 nt
Filed under: Operophtera brumata (winter moth)
Lineage: Eukaryota; Metazoa; Arthropoda; Insecta; Lepidoptera; Geometridae
Rfam family: tRNA
About the family: Transfer RNA (tRNA) molecules are approximately 80 nucleotides in length. Their secondary structure includes four short double-helical elements and three loops (D, anti-codon, and T loops).
Source: Rfam by way of RNAcentral